Paramisgurnus dabryanus is the source of this 1540-nucleotide non-coding RNA. Lineage: Eukaryota; Metazoa; Chordata; Actinopteri; Cypriniformes; Cobitidae. The record is from RefSeq and is a predicted model, not a curated record.
UCUGUGUGUGUGUGUGUUUUAUGUUCGUGUCUGAUUUUUUUAUUUUAAUUGGGAUUGUUUUGGAGGGUUUUCAGGAGGUGUGCUACACCGAUGUAGAGUAGCUAAUACAUUGUCUUCAUUAUUUUUACAGUUAACCUGCAAAUGAGCUGGUGGUUUCUUACUGAGCAACCUAAUUUAUUGGCAGGCCUCCUUACACAACGCUAAUAGGAUGGGACCCAUUGUCUGUGGGCCAGGACCACCAUGCUUCUCUGCCUCCACACAAACACAAUGACCCUCACUGGGCCUUGUCUCAGCAAGACCCGUCUGCUGUAUGGAGUGGGUCUAACCAAACAGCAGCAUUCUCAUGAAGAUUAUUUUUCUUGGAGUGGAGGUGAAGGAAAGUAGGACAGGUUUUCAUCACGAUACGCAACGUGUCAAAUGUAUUACGACUCAUCAUGCAAAUAUGGAACUUUCUGGUAAUUAAAAGUCACUCUUCCAGACGUUAGCGGAGGAACAGUUGUAGGUGCCUGAGCUUUCAUCUGUACAUCUGUAUGUUUGGGUGUACGUGUCUCAAAUAGAUCGAUGGAUCGGGGGCUGGUGAUGAAAACAGAAUGCCUUCUCUGUUGUUGCUUUUUUCCACUACUGCCAGCUGCAUUAUACUGUGGAUGGAGUGUGGCUUGACCAAAAUAAACCUGCAGGCAGUGAAAAAGUGCAUAGAGAAGAGAAAAAUAGAUGUUUUUUACUAUGGCUCCCAUCUAAUAAGCCUUAUAAUCAUGCUUUUCAUUUCUAUUUUAUUGACAGAUGCAACUACUAGGGUUGAAGAGAAUACAGAUUGUUUUUCAAACCUCUAGGAAAGAUUGAGCUCCAGGCCUGCGUGAAAUACGCCACGGAUGAUGUUAUUUUACUUGGACUUACUUAUAUGGGUGAAAGGCAUUUCUGCUGAAAGAAUAGUCCAAAAAUAUGAAGAACUCGAAGUGAAAAUACUCAAGCCAUUAUAUAGACCCACAUGCUUCACUUGUGUUUAGUUAAACUGUCAGUAUACUGACAUUAAACGUGCCCUUUUAAUCACAGGUUUAAUCUUAUAUGUACUCAAGCCACACUGCUUUACGCUAAUGUGUUUAACAGAGACAGAAGCUGAACACUGACACGUAUUAAUGUGUAAAAGCUGAGGUUUUGCAGACCAAAACUUGGUAAAACUUUACAAUAAGGUAGUAAAUGCAUUAGCAAACUAAUAAUAAUUUAACGUUUAUUAAUCUUUGUUAAUUAUAUUUAAUGUCGAUACAGUUAUUCGUGCUAGUUUAUUGUGUUUUAACUAAUGUUUUAAAUGUAUUAGUCACUUAAAGGUGCCGUAGAAUGUAAAACUAUAUUUAUCUAGACAUAGAUGAAUAAUACAAGCUCUGUACAUAGUAAUGGCAUAUUGUGAGCCUCAAACGCGUUUGUUUUGUAAUUCUUAUGUAAACCUUGUGCAUGCAAAAGACAACUGAAAAGCAGAUCAAUCUCAUGACGUUAGUCGAGAUAUACGCCCUGACAUUAAAUGACACAUUAAAUUAAGUACAGUGUU